RNAcentral lists this microRNA precursor (206 nucleotides) under Oryza glumipatula. RNAcentral describes it as "MIR812 microRNA precursor family". It matches the Rfam family "MIR812 microRNA precursor family". The record is from Rfam by way of RNAcentral. Lineage: Eukaryota; Viridiplantae; Streptophyta; Magnoliopsida; Poales; Poaceae.
AAUAAAUAUAGUUUUGCACUAUUCAUCUCCAACGUUUAACCGUUCGUUUUAUUUGAAAAAAAUAUGAUUACUAUUUUUAUUGCUAUUAGAUGAUAAAAUAUGAAUAGUACUUUAUGUGUGACUAAUUUUUUAAAAAAAAAUUAUAAAAUUUUUAAAUAAGACGGACAGUCAAACGUUGGACACGAAUUUUCACAACUGCAUUUAUU